RNAcentral lists this unclassified non-coding RNA (374 nucleotides) under uncultured Bacteroidota bacterium. RNAcentral describes it as "uncultured Bacteroidetes bacterium contains 16S-23S intergenic spacer region". Lineage: Bacteria; Pseudomonadati; Bacteroidota. The record is from RNAcentral.
UCACUGCUUGCGCAGGCAGUCUCACUAGAGUCCCCGGCUCUACCCGCUGGUAACUAGUGAUAGGGGUUGCGUUCGUUGCGGGACUUAACCCAACAUCUCACGACACGAACUGACGACAGCCAUGCAGCACCUCACUACCGGCCCGAAGGAGGGUCCUUUUCGGGACCUGUCCGGUAGCGUUCGAGCCCAGGUAAGGUUCUUCGCGUUGCAUCGAAUUAAGCCACAUGCUCCACCGCUUGUGCGGGCCCCCGUCAAUUCCUUUGAGUUUCAACCUUGCGAUCGUACUCCCCAGGUGGGAUACUUAACGCGUUAGCUUAGGCACUGCCCCAAAAAAAGAGCAACACCGAGUAUCCAUCGUUUAGGGCGUGGACUAC